UACAGCGCCUAAGGAAGAAGAAGGCGGCCAUCUUCGUGAGGUCGCAGGCUUUUGUGAUGCCAAGACACUGCUCUGCUGUAGGUUGCAAGUCACGCGACACAAAAGACAUUAGGAAAUCUGGGAUCACUUUUCACAGGUUGCCAAAGAAGGGAAACCCUCGACGCACAGCCUGGAUUAUCAACUCUCGUCGCAGAGGCCCUGAGGGAAAAGGGCAGUGGGACCCCCAAAGUGGAUUCAUCUAUUUCUGCUCUAAACACUUCACCCCCGACAGCUUUGAACUCUCCGGUGUCAGUGGCUAUCGCAGACUGAAGGAUGAUGCGAUUCCCACUGUAUUUGACAUUCAGCCUCACGGAGGAGGAACUGCUGGGAAAUGUGCAACAAAACGCAGAGGCAGUCCUCGAAAUGUGGACGAACAUAUCAGAGUCAAGAACUCCUCCUGUAGUGAGGACUCAGAAACCCAGGAGAUCUUCAACAAUGAGACUGUGUUGCCAAAAGUAGCAGAAAAUGAGUGUGAAAAGGGCGAAGGGGAGGACGAGCAUGCUCAGCCUUCAUCAGAGGCUCCUCAAACCUCUGAAGAGACCACACUAGAUGACCAGCCUCCUGUCCCCUCUUCUCCUCCUCGUCCACCUUCUCCAUCCUGCUACAUGAGACGUCUCCCGCCUCCUCCUGGAUUUUACUUGCCCAAAGAGCACAACUACGCUCAGCUGUGCCCUCUAGUGUGGCGCAAGCGCUACGACAAAGCCAUCGACAGCUUGGAAAAAGCACUGCGUCUUCUGAGUGCCGCCCGACGGCGGGAGAACCGCCUACGCCACGCGUUACUGCGCCUCAGAGAGAACCGACUCAGAAGUACCCUGUUACGCACACGAGACGGAGCCAAAGGGAAGGAGGCCCGAGGAGGCAGGUGUUCAAGCUGGAAGGGACGGGGGCCGAAGGGGGAGAGAGGCUGCAAUCUUGAGGGACUGGAGGAGAACGCAGCUGAUGAAAUAGACCUUCUGUCCGAGGGCUGGACCGGACAAGCACAGACAAAAGGAAGAGUCGCUGGGGAAGAAGAAGAAGGCUGCUGCUUUUAUUGCGGAAGAGACAAUGAAGGAAACAAAGUAAUCGUAGCAACUGUAGGACCUGAUGUUCAAGGACCCCUCAAGCCUCAGAGAAUCCAGGGACUCAAAAGGAAAGCCAAAGUGCUCAAAGAACAGAAGUCAGAGACCUCACGGACUGAUGUGGCGCCUGUGGAGCAGCAAAGCUACUAUUUAUAUUACUGCGAGAGCGCAGAGAACGAGGACACGAUGCAGGUGGUCACCAUGGAAUUGCUGAGCACCGAGGAGGAAACACCUCUCGAGCUUCACAGCAAUGCAGAAGAAAUCCAGCAGCUCGCUGUGCUGCAUCCACAGACUGAGAUGCACACUGCGCCCGGGUCCGGAUCUGUUCAAUACUCCACAACACUGCAGGAGACGUCUGUGCCAUUCCAGCUGCAGCAACUCCAAGUGCUUGAGCCGCACCAGGGACUUCUGCUCUCUGAGCUCGUCACAAAGGAAAAGAGCGGCAUGGAGCAGGAGCAGCAGUUCUUCUGGGUUCAGGAAGGGACUGAUGAUCACGUCCUGCUGAUGCCGGUUCCUGCCGAAGCGAGGGAAAGCAACGGGGUCGACGUUGAGACCGUGAUCGAGACUGUGCAGCCUCGGGUGAUACUGGAGAGAUAUCAGUCAAAGGACACUGAAGAAAGGGAUGGACCGGCUGUGAAGUGUGAUUCCUCUGUAUUAACGGCUACAGCGUGGGAACACGGUCCGCUCACACACCAGUCGGACCUGAGGCCCACAGCAGACGUCAGAGAGAGACUGAAGGAACAUCUAGAGGGGUUUCAGCUUCAGCUCAGCAGCGAGUUCAGUGACUGAACCGAUCAUAUUUUUAUAUUUUCUGUUCUUCAAUUACAGAUUCUAUCAUUUGAGAUAUUUUAAAGGCAUCGGGAUCAUAUGAAGGACUGCCUGCAUCCCCUGUUGAUUUAGGAUGGACUCCAAAGAUUUUUAUCUAGAAGAAAAACAAUGACACGUUAUACCCCAGGUUUUGAAUGGUUGUGUAAACAUCCCAAGAUUUUCAUUGCCACUGUCAGGAUUCUGAGUUUAUGUUUCCAGAUUACCUCAUGUUCAUUUAAAACCUACAACCACUCAGGGAUCUUCUAUUUCUGCCAAUUCUUUCUUGUGUGAGGUGAAGUCCUUUAAACACUUUACCAUAUCAUGUUUCAGAUGUAAAGGUGAAUCUCUGAUUUUUUAUUCAUUCAAAUGUUCUGUUUCUGCUAUUUGUAAAAUAAGCUUGAUUCCCCGUUAUUUGUUACUGUGACCACCAGAGGGAGCAGAUUUCAUUCCUUACUCCUCAAAUAUGAACGGAUGCACUCGUAUUUUAUUUAUU
RNA transcript from Carassius auratus (goldfish), 2397 nucleotides. RefSeq lists it as uncharacterized. The record is from RefSeq and is a predicted model, not a curated record. Lineage: Eukaryota; Metazoa; Chordata; Actinopteri; Cypriniformes; Cyprinidae. The transcript is spliced from 7 exons.